This 492-nucleotide ribosomal RNA is filed under the name uncultured bacterium. RNAcentral's name for it is "partial 16S ribosomal RNA". It matches the Rfam family "Bacterial small subunit ribosomal RNA", at positions 29 to 507 of the family's 1533-position model. The record is from RNAcentral.
AGUGAACGCUGGCGGUAGGCCUAACACAUGCAAGUCGAACGGCAGCACAGUAAGAGCUUGCUCUUACAGGUGGCGAGUGGCGGACGGGUGAGGAAUACAUCGGAAUCUACUUUUUCGUGGGGGAUAACGUAGGGAAACUUACGCUAAUACCGCAUACGACCUACGGGUGAAAGCAGGGGAUCUUCGGACCUUGCGCGAUUGAAUGAGCCGAUGUCGGAUUAGCUAGUUGGCGGGGUAAAGGCCCACCAAGGCGACGAUCCGUAGCUGGUCUGAGAGGAUGAUCAGCCACACUGGAACUGAGACACGGUCCAGACUCCUACGGGAGGCAGCAGUGGGGAAUAUUGGACAAUGGGCGCAAGCCUGAUCCAGCCAUACCGCGUGGGUGAAGAAGGCCUUCGGGUUGUAAAGCCCUUUUGUUGGGAAAGAAAAGCAGCAGGUUAAUACCCCACUGUUCUGACGGUACCCAAAGAAUAAGCACCGGCUAACUUCGUG